Non-coding RNA from Ictidomys tridecemlineatus (thirteen-lined ground squirrel), 72 nucleotides. Lineage: Eukaryota; Metazoa; Chordata; Mammalia; Rodentia; Sciuridae. The record is from Rfam.
UGGGUUGUGGCUCAGCAGUAGAGUGUUCACCUAGCACGUGCGAGGCCCUGGGUUCAAUCCUCAGCACCACAU